RNAcentral lists this long non-coding RNA (1158 nucleotides) under Medicago truncatula (barrel medic). RNAcentral's name for it is "lncRNA gene2812". The record is from RNAcentral. Lineage: Eukaryota; Viridiplantae; Streptophyta; Magnoliopsida; Fabales; Fabaceae.
GUGCCCCUUUUAUUGGUAACCGGGUGAUGGAGCAGAUCAAGGAAUAAACUGUUGAGAACAUCAGAAGUCCUCAAACAGAAUGAACGGCGUAAGUUUUAAUAUAGUCACAACAAUUUCUUUCUCCCUCAUAGAACUUCUCUUCUCUUCAUCAUCUCCUCUCCCAGUUUUUUUUUUUUUUUUUUUUUUUAUCUCUUUUCAUCUUCAUCUCCCUCAUAGAACAAUAGUUUACUCACACUCAUAGCCACCACUUCCAGCCACCACAUGAGGAUGAACCGUAAGAUUAUUUUCCUCUCUCAAAAUCAAAAUCUGGAAAUCAUUUGCAUCUCCAUAUGUUGGUUUCAACUCAUGGUAACAUAUUGAAUUUGCACCUGUUCCAUUCGAUGCCUGUUCCUCCUUUUUUUUAAUCGUUCCAUCAGCAUGCUUCUUUUAAAAUAUUGCACUCAUAACUUUUCUGUUUUUAUCUUUGUUCACAGCUUCAUUGGAUCUAAAUCCAAUCACUGAUUUUGAUAAGUUCGUGAGGUUUUCCAUAUGUUUGCAAUUCUGAUGCAAAUUUUUAAAUUUUGGCUCACACAUAAACUAUCAUCUAAUAGUGGAAUGUGACGUUGAAGCCCUAUUUGUGUUGAAUUGCUUGAAAGAUCCUGCUUAUAUGUAGCUCUUAAGGCUUAAGUGGCGUACCUAUCAUGUCGAGUACAGUCGAGAUGAGGAGUUGAUUCCGAUAACAAGGACAAAGUUGGUGUAGCCGAUUCAGAUGUAACACCGAUUAGCAAGUCUUUGGAUGACAUUGAUGUAGGUGGGUUGUGAAGCAUUGAGCACAAAAGAACCAAAAUUGGUGUCUGCUUCAAAGGUAGAUGCAGUUGCUCCAGUUGUGACUUCGAACACUCCAAACUCCUUGGGAAAGAGAGCAGCUGAGAAUGUGGUUUCAGUUGUUGAUGUCGCUGAAUUUGAUGGAUCCACACCAAAAGAGCCAAAACUGGUUCGGUGUGAAGAUCGAAGCUGAGGAGUGAAGUCUUUUGCAAAAUUUUCAACUACCAGUAGUGUUGCUGAUGUCCAAGUCUGUUGUCCUUUCAUUCUGUUUUGUUUUGGUUUUUAAUUGUCGCGUUGAAAUCUUCGGUUGCAUUUUGUUGCCAUACUUAUUUCGUUUUUAUGUUUGACAUUCUG